RNAcentral lists this ribosomal RNA (375 nucleotides) under uncultured bacterium. RNAcentral's name for it is "bacterial SSU rRNA". It matches the Rfam family "Bacterial small subunit ribosomal RNA", at positions 524 to 898 of the family's 1533-position model. The record is from RNAcentral.
UACGAAGGGGGCAAGCGUUGUUCGGAUUUACUGGGCGUAAAGGGCGCGCAGGCGGCUCUUCAAGUCAGAUGUGAAAGCCCCGGGCUCAACCUGGGAACUGCAUUUGAGACUGAAGAACUCGAGUUCGGGAGAGGAUGGCGGAAUUCCCAGUGUAGAGGUGAAAUUCGUAGAUAUUGGGAAGAACACCGGUGGCGAAGGCGGCCAUCUGGACCGAGACUGACGCUGAGGCGCGAAAGCGUGGGGAGCAAACAGGAUUAGAUACCCUGGUAGUCCACGCCGUAAACGAUGUGUGCUAGACGUCGGGAAGCCUAGCUUUUCGGUGUCGCAGCUAACGCUUUAAGCACACCGCCUGGGGAGUACGGCCGCAAGGUUAAA